GACGAACGCUGGCGGCGUGCUUAACACAUGCAAGUCGAACGGUAAGGCCCUUCGGGGUACACGAGUGGCGAACGGGUGAGUAACACGUGGGUGAUCUGCCCUGCACUUCGGGAUAAGCCUGGGAAACUGGGUCUAAUACCGGAUAGGACCACUGCCUGCAUGGGUGGUGGAAAGCUUUUGCGGUGUGGGAUGGGCCCGCGGCCUAUCAGCUUGUUGGUGGGGUAAUGGCCUACCAAGGCGACGACGGGUAGCCGGCCUGAGAGGGUGACCGGCCACACUGGGACUGAGAUACGGCCCAGACUCCUACGGGAGGCAGCAGUGGGGAAUAUUGCACAAUGGGCGCAAGCCUGAUGCAGCGACGCCGCGUGAGGGAUGACGGCCUUCGGGUUGUAAACCUCUUUCAGUAGGGACGAAGCGCAAGUGACGGUACCUAUAGAAGAAGGACCGGCCAACUACGUGCCAGCCGCCGCGGUAA
Molecule: ribosomal RNA, 475 nt
Filed under: uncultured bacterium
Lineage: Bacteria
Description: partial 16S ribosomal RNA
Rfam family: Bacterial small subunit ribosomal RNA
Source: RNAcentral